This 402-nucleotide ribosomal RNA is filed under the name bacterium. RNAcentral's name for it is "partial 16S ribosomal RNA". It matches the Rfam family "Bacterial small subunit ribosomal RNA", at positions 355 to 776 of the family's 1533-position model. The record is from RNAcentral.
UGGGGAAUUUUGCACAAUGGGGGAAACCCUGAUGCAGCGACGCCGCGUGAUUUAGAAGGCCUUCGGGUUGUAAAAAUCUUUUCUAUGGGAAGAAAAUGACAGUACCAUAGGAAUAAGGACCGGCUAAUUACGUGCCAGCAGCCGCGGUAAUACGUAAGGUCCGAGCGUUGUCCGGAAUCAUUGGGCGUAAAGGGUACGUAGGCGGGUAAGCAAGUUAGAAGUGAAGUCCUAUAGCUCAACUAUAGUAAGCUUUUAAAACUGAUCAUCUUGAGGUAUGGAACGGAAAGUGGAAUUGCUGGUGUAGCGGUGAAAUGCGCAGAUAUUAGGAGGAAUACAGGUUGCGAAGGCGACUUUCUGGCCAUAACCUGACGCUGAGGUACGAAAGCGUGGGUAGAAAACAGG